Trichosurus vulpecula (common brushtail) is the source of this 241-nucleotide long non-coding RNA. RefSeq lists it as uncharacterized. The transcript is spliced from 2 exons. The record is from RefSeq and is a predicted model, not a curated record. Lineage: Eukaryota; Metazoa; Chordata; Mammalia; Diprotodontia; Phalangeridae.
CUUCUCAACUCACAAGCACCAAAAACAACAGAGAAGCCUUAUCUUUACCUGUCUAUGGAAGUGGUCCAAGUGUGGCAACUGAUCCAGGAGCUGGGAUACCCAAGUGUAUUUGGUGCUAGAUGACCAUGAUAUACAGAAAAAGCAGAGCAUGAGGACCUUCAGCUACUUCCUUAGGCUGGACAAGUGGACCACCAAAGGCAGGGAAGUUGUGCCCAUCUGAAUGAAGGAUGUAUCCUCACCA